RNAcentral lists this ribosomal RNA (254 nucleotides) under uncultured bacterium. RNAcentral's name for it is "partial 16S ribosomal RNA". It matches the Rfam family "Bacterial small subunit ribosomal RNA", at positions 524 to 777 of the family's 1533-position model. The record is from RNAcentral.
UACGUAGGGGGCAAGCGUUGUCCGGAUUUACUGGGCGUAAAGAGCGCGCAGGCGGUCGUUCAAGUCGAGUGUGAAAGCCCCCGGCUCAACUGGGGAGGGUCAUUCGAUACUGAUCGACUCGAAGGCAGGAGAGGGUAGUGGAAUUCCCGGUGUAGUGGUGAAAUGCGUAGAUAUCGGGAGGAACACCAGUGGCGAAGGCGACUACCUGGCCUGUUCUUGACGCUGAGGCGCGAAAGCUAGGGGAGCAAACGGGG